AGCGAACGCUGGCGGCAUGCCUAACACAUGCAAGUCGAACGAACGUUUCGGGGGUAUUCGCGGACGGGGGAAGAACACGUGGGAACGGUCCUUUAUGGUCGGAAUACCUCAGGGAAACGGGUGCUAAUACCGAAUGGGACCUUCGGGGGGAAGAUUAAUUGUCUUUAGAGCGGCACGCGUCUGAUUAGCUAGUUGGGUGAGGUAAUGGCGCACCAGGGCGACGAUCGCUAGAUGGUCUGAGAGGGGGAUCAGCCACAUUGGGACUGAGACACGGCCGAAAAUCCUACGGGAUGCAGCAGUGGGGAAUCUUGCGCAAUGGGCGAAAGCAUGACGCAGCCAUGCCGCGUGAAUGAUGUAGGUCUUAGGAUUGUAAAAUUCUUUCACCGGGGACGAUAAUGACGGUACCCGGAGAAGAAGCCCCGGCUAACUUCGUG
This 434-nucleotide ribosomal RNA is filed under the name uncultured bacterium. RNAcentral describes it as "partial 16S ribosomal RNA". It matches the Rfam family "Bacterial small subunit ribosomal RNA", at positions 29 to 507 of the family's 1533-position model. The record is from RNAcentral.